This 487-nucleotide long non-coding RNA is filed under the name Mytilus galloprovincialis (Mediterranean mussel). The record is from RNAcentral. Lineage: Eukaryota; Metazoa; Mollusca; Bivalvia; Mytilida; Mytilidae.
UGCACUAACAGUAUAUGAAAACACACACCUAAAUCAAUCAAUCAGUCAAAAGCUCACACAUCGAAAUCCUAGUUAAACACUUGCAAAGUGUCCUAUAAAACCUGUGCCUAUAAAUAUGUUACAUGCUUAUAUAUGCAUGCCUAAACCAUGACUACAAACUAGCAUAUAAGCAUUCCUAAGGUGUAAAUAUACAUAACCAACAAUUCCUAGUGUGUAAGUUUGCCUAUCACUACAUGUAAGAAAAGAUAAUGGUUGGUAACCUAGACAGAGAAUUUUACUUUUGUGUGUGUAAUAAAAUAAAUGCAAAACACCUAAAAAAUAUAUAUGUCUAUGAAGGUAAGUAUUUAAAAUACUUUUAUAUAGGUUUACAAAGUGUGUAUUGCCUGGACCAAGUUAGAAAUUCAGUUCGUAUGAACCAAAAAAUAGAACCCUUAUUUACGGGUUGAAAACACAAAAAUGUAUACCUUGCACUAUUUGUGCAUACUUC